RNAcentral lists this small nucleolar RNA (81 nucleotides) under Carlito syrichta (Philippine tarsier). RNAcentral describes it as "Small nucleolar RNA SNORD115 (ENSTSYG00000027732.1)". It matches the Rfam family "Small nucleolar RNA SNORD115". From Rfam's summary of the family: HBII-52 is a member of the C/D class of snoRNAs, which contain the C (UGAUGA) and D (CUGA) box motifs. HBII-52 is encoded in a tandemly repeated array with another C/D snoRNA, HBII-85, in the Prader-Willi syndrome (PWS) region of chromosome 15. The record is from Rfam by way of RNAcentral. Lineage: Eukaryota; Metazoa; Chordata; Mammalia; Primates; Tarsiidae.
GGGUCAGUGAUGAAAUCUUUACCUUGUCUCUAGAGAGGUGUUGUCUUAUAAGUCUUGCUCAAUAGAGCUAUGCUGAGGGCC